CCUACGGGGCGCAGCAGUCGGGAAUAUUGCGCAAUGGAGGAAACUCUGACGCAGUGACGCCGCGUGCAGGAAGAAGGUUUUCGGAUUGUAAACUGCUUUAGACAGGGAAGAAACAAGACAGUACCUGUAGAAUAAGCUCCGGCUAACUACGUGCCAGCAGCCGCGGUAAUACGUAGGGAGCAAGCGUUAUCCGGAUUUACUGGGUGUAAAGGGAGCGUAGACGGCUGUGCAAGUCUGAAGUGAAAUGCCGGGGCCCAACCCCGGAACUGCUUUGGAAACUGUACAGCUAGAGUGCA
Molecule: ribosomal RNA, 296 nt
Filed under: uncultured bacterium
Lineage: Bacteria
Description: partial 16S ribosomal RNA
Rfam family: Bacterial small subunit ribosomal RNA
Source: RNAcentral